RNAcentral lists this ribosomal RNA (494 nucleotides) under uncultured bacterium. RNAcentral describes it as "partial 16S ribosomal RNA". It matches the Rfam family "Bacterial small subunit ribosomal RNA", at positions 28 to 507 of the family's 1533-position model. The record is from RNAcentral.
GACGAACGCUGGCGGCGUGCUUAACACAUGCAAGUCGAACGGAAAGGCCUGCUUUCCCUUGUGGAUUGCGGGUACUCGAGUGGCUAACGGGUGAGUAACACGUGAGUGAUCUGCCCCCAACUUGGGUAUAAGCCUGGGAAACUGGGUCUAAUUCCCGAUAGGACUGCAGGGUGGUGCCUGUGGUGGAAAACGAUUUUCUAGUGGUUGGGGAUGAGCUCGCGGCCUAUCAGCUUGUUGGUGGGGUAAUGGCCUACCAAGGCGGCGACGGGUAGCCGGCCUGAGAGGGUGGACGGCCACAGUGGGACUGAGAUACGGCCCAGACGACUACGGGAGGCAGCAGUGGGGAAUAAUGCACAAUGGGCGGAAGCCUGAUGCAGCGACGCCGCGUGGGGGAUGACGGCCUUCGGGUUGUAAACUCCUUUCGACCGCGAGGAAGCCACCUGGUUGGAAGGGUGGUGACGGUAGUGGUAGAAGAAGCACCGGCUAACUACGUG